Molecule: long non-coding RNA, 507 nt
Filed under: Lotus japonicus
Lineage: Eukaryota; Viridiplantae; Streptophyta; Magnoliopsida; Fabales; Fabaceae
Description: long non-coding RNA (LJAP_LNC001856)
Source: RNAcentral
GAGUUAGAGUUCCUAUAAAUGUAUGAAUACUGUAAAAAAAUUACACAUCAUUAAAUUAAAACUCAUCAAUUUAUCAUGUCAUAUAUGAGCUUUUUUUUAAAAAAAAAAUGAUUCAUUCAAUUAAGAAGAAACAGAGGGCUCAGAGGCCAUUACAUUAGAUUGGACUAAGCCAUAAAAGUCUUGAGGGAUCUCCUCAAUCCAAACUCAAACACCUAAAGUAAAAGAACGCUUAGCUAAAGCAUCAGCGACACUAUUGCCAGCAAGGCGAAUAAAGCUGAAAUCAAAAGCAUCAAAACCAGAAGACAAACGACGACAAUCUAAAAUCGAAGAGUCUAAAAUAGAGCAACCACCCCGGCGCUUCCACGCCUCAUAAAGAAGGAGACAGUCGGUCUCGAACACUACGUGCCGGAAACCAAGAUCCAUAGCCAAACCGAGCGCCCAACGGAAAGAGAGCCCCUCCGCUAACAAAGAAGAUGAUGCUGGACCAUGCGAGGAGCACGCUGCUGC